GGAAAGCAAGGACAGACUGCUCGUGGAAAAUACCCAAUCCCUGAGGAGCUGUAUUGGUCAAAAGACCAAGUCAUUAACUCAUGGAAAAUUUGUUUUAGAGGGGGCACCCCCGUAGGAGCAUCAGAGAUGAUUUUGUUGACUUUCUUUCCAAGUGGAUGCUUCAGAACACAGUCACAGGCUAUGCUAGUGUGGGUUUCAAGCUCAUGAAAGAAAUGCAAUUGCUGGUGAAGACCUGUCUAGCCGCACAAAGGAGGAGCAAGAAAUUCAGGUUCUUCCAUCCCACUCAGCCUUGCCAUGGAGGAAAGACCAGCUCUUGG
Molecule: long non-coding RNA, 317 nt
Organism: Passer domesticus (house sparrow)
Lineage: Eukaryota; Metazoa; Chordata; Aves; Passeriformes; Passeridae
Exons: 3
Source: RefSeq, a predicted model, not a curated record